CACAAGCUUCUGGAAGGCUGAAAUUGCGCCAAAAAAAUCAUGAGAUGUUUGGUGUUUAGCAGCUGGCUUAUUUGGAAUAUCUGUCCAGUUAAAAAAUGGCUCCAGCAGUUAGAAACAGGUGAUGGCACGGCAGAAUGGCUUUAUGGAAACUUCAAGCAUAUGACAGCUUAAUUUUCUUCCACAAGGCUGUGAGACCAGUUUGAAGCCUUAGGUCAUGCUCCCCAUCAUAUGUCCCAUGCAAGCCCAACCCAGAAAAUGUACAGCUAACAUUCAUGGUGAUGCUAAAGUUAUCAGAUCUACAGCACCAGUUGACAUACGGCCAACACUUAGUGUCUAGUUCAUUGUCAAAAGAAAAUGUUUGUGCCUCUUUUGUUACAACAGACGGCUUAUUUGGAAUAUCUGUCCAGUUAAAAAAUGGCUCCAGUGGUUAGAAACAGGUGAUGGCAUGGCAGAAUGGCUUUAUGGAAACUUCAAGCAUAUGACAGCUUAAUUUUCUUCCACAAGGCUGUGAGACCAGUUUGCAGCCUUAGGUCAUGCUCCCCAUCAUAUGUCCCAUGCAAGCCCAACCCAGAAAAUGCACAGCUAACAUUCACGGUGAUGCUAAAGUUAUCAGAUCUACAGCACCAGUUGACAUACAGCCAACACAUAGUGUCUAGUUCAUUGUCAAAAGAAAUGUUUGUGCCUCUUUUGUUACAACAGAUCUAGCAAUGUGAAGCGAGGGGCCAUAAUGUAUAAAGAGAGGGCUUCACCUCCAACUGCGUCUGCUGAAGAAAUGCUUCUGUCCAAUCACUAGACUACUGGCAAAUGAGAAGAAUGUUGACCUCACAUCCAGGCUGCAAGUUGGUAAGGACAGAGUCUGGGGCUACUGUUGCCUUUCCGAUAUAUUAGAUUCAAUUUUGUAACAAACUGCUUUAUAAAUUAUUAAGCAGAAACCUAAUGCUGCUGUUAAGCUAAGGUUUUAUGAUUUGAUGUUUGUUCAUUUGCCACAACAAAGGCAGGAGGUAUUCAUUGUAUUCUGUGUUCACAGGCAGUGGGGACAGUGCGGCCGACUGCUCUCACCUCCUGUGAUCAUGGAAAGUUAGGCAGAUUCCAAUCUGUACCUCAAAAUGCCUUUUGGCAUUUUUUUUUUCUUUGUCUGUUGUGAAUGUAUUUCUGUCUCCUGUGCAUCUCCCUUUAACAUUUUAUUUAAGGUUAUCCGGUCAAGCUGCUGUUUGCUGCAUGAAAAGGACACAUCUGCUACAUCAUUCUGCUACACAAGAUGAGAUUUCGCUGGGACCACAUUCAAGUAUGGCAAGGAUUCAACCAGAUUCAUCAGUCCUCAGACGUGUUCAGAACGCCACGUUGGUGUUUUAACAGCUGGAGUCCGUGUGUUUUGCGUAACAGCUGCUCUCACAACUCGUGUACCCAUGGAAAGGGAUUGUCCUUGGCGUUCCUGUUUGAACUAUAAACCUGGCUAUUUAAUAAAAUGCUAAUAAAGUGUUUUUGAUUAUCUGUUCUAUUAAUAAAGCUGUGACUGAUCUUA
Molecule: long non-coding RNA, 1522 nt
Organism: Bombina bombina (fire-bellied toad)
Lineage: Eukaryota; Metazoa; Chordata; Amphibia; Anura; Bombinatoridae
Exons: 9
Source: RefSeq, a predicted model, not a curated record